Pseudopipra pipra is the source of this 759-nucleotide long non-coding RNA. RefSeq lists it as uncharacterized. The transcript is spliced from 2 exons. The record is from RefSeq and is a predicted model, not a curated record. NCBI's taxonomy places the organism in Eukaryota, Metazoa, Chordata, Aves, Passeriformes, Pipridae.
UCGAGGCCACCUUCCGCAGGGAUUGGAGACUCCCCGGAAAAUUUCCGGAUCACCAAUCCUGCGGUCUGGCCUCGAGGGCAACUGAACAAGAGAAAAGCCUAGGAAACGCUAUGGGUUAUCAAGUUGUGCAGUGCGGCCUCAAGGGCACUUGCCACAGGGAUUGGGGACACUUCACCAAAGCUCCGCGUCACCAAGUCCCGCGGUCUGGCCUCGAGGACACCUGCAACACAGAAACACCUCCAAAACGCUCCGGGUCAGAAAGGAAGGAGUUGACUGCGUGGGGGCUCCACACAGCACCGCUCUAUCCCGUCUGUCCCGUCGCAUGCUCCGAGGAGCACUGAGGCGUGGCCACGUCACCACCAGUACUAUGUCAACACAUGUCACAAAGGCCUUGUGACAGCCUGCCCUGUUCCAUGCCAUUGGCGAUGCCCAUCGUGUCACGAAGGGUCCUGUGACACACUACCACGUGCCCUGGGGCCUCCCCCAGCCCAGCCACCUGCCCCAGGGGGCUGUUGGGAGCAGCAGCUGGAGCAAUUGGUAGCAGUGCUCAGCAUCUGUCAGAACACAGGAGCAGUUUCUCCUUGCAGGAAUGAUUUUUGCAUGGAAAUGAUGACCUGCAGCAGAAAACCACCAUCAGCUGCUGAGUUUCACAUGAAGAUUAGGUUGUUCAGAAAUCCUGUCAAGCUUCCUUGUGUUAUUUGGGCUUUUUUUCUGCAUUCUGCAAAAUAAAAGCUGUCCAGUCUGACGUUCAAAGCUCCA